Molecule: transfer RNA, 34 nt
Filed under: Ventilago leiocarpa
Lineage: Eukaryota; Viridiplantae; Streptophyta; Magnoliopsida; Rosales; Rhamnaceae
Also listed under: 6 other names
Description: partial transfer RNA-Phe
Source: RNAcentral
CGGGAUAGCUCAGCUGGUAGAGCAGAGGACUGAA